UACUCAUGCAAACUCAAAUUUGACGAAUGAAAUGUAAGGCGAGGCCAUAGAGCAUUUUGCAAAUGCUAGGAUUUGAUCCUUCAUUUCUCUCUCUAUGGUGUUUACAAUUUAUUACUAAACGAAGACAACUCUGCUAUCUCUUUUUAUGUGUAACAAUUUCAGAGUGAAGAAAUUAGAAGAAACAGCUUUUGAUCAUUAAUGGCAGACACAGCCCCCACGGAAGAAACUCUGUGCAGAUAGAAUCUGCCCUUCUAUUCAAAAGAAGAACCAGCUCAUAACAUCUCUGCUCCUCCAUGUCUCCCUCUACUUAUACUCCUCUUUUCUCCUUCCCACCUUUCAUCACAUCAUCCCAGCACCUCAUCCUUUCUGUUAGAACUUCCUCUGUAAAUUUCUAGGAUUCUCCAGCCUUUACAACACAACCCUUUCAAGUUCCUAGUACUUUCAUUAGUCAUCACAUCACCAUGAUUGCAGAUUGAGUCUAUAACUUGAAUUUGAAAUUGAAAAUGUUGUCAGAAAAUAAGUGAAUCUAUUAGGGCCUCAGUAUCCUAACAGAGAACUAGAAGAGAGAAAUAGGAAGGAGCAGAAGAAGAGAGAAAUAGAAAUAGAAAGAAGAAUAGGGAGGAGAAAUAGAACCAGAGGAGGAUAAUAAAGUGUUAAUUUUUGGAGUCUUAGCUUCAUCUAGAACAAUUCAUUUGCAAGAAAAAAUUCAAACCAAGUCUUGCACAAUUAUACAUGAUAUCUAUUUCUUUUAAAAUAUAUAUAUAUUUUUUAAAUUAAAAAGAAUUGAAUACAUUCAUUCCAAACAAGAAAAUUGAUAAAAAGGAAAUCAAUUCAAUUCAGUUCUUAUAAAUUCUUUUUAUUGCAAAUUGGGGCGAAUUAGUCUUACAAUCUCCUUUAUUUACUCUGUAUAGCUGCAACUGAAUAACUGUCCCUAACAAGAUAACUGCACUCUAACUACCGGAACCUUUUCCUUCCGGAGCUAACUUCCCUCUCAAAUCACAUCUAUUCUGCCUGCCAUAUCUCUUCCUAUAUUAUGCAACAGAAUCCUAGCUGCUCUUUGUUUCCACGUCAACACAAUUCCAUAUUACAGCCUAAAACUUGAAGAGAAUGCAAUAACGGGUUUGGCUUAGUGUUAACUGCAUCAAUGUGGAAUCUGGCGGUUUGGAUUCAGCUCUCCCCAUCUCCCCUACUCCUUUUACUCUAACCUGAACAAAAAAAGAAAAGAGAAUUAGUCAUGGCAAUGGGUAGAGUGUACGUGAAUCAUCUUUUUACCUGUACCCAAAUCUAAACCUGAUAAAAUUUGCUCUAAUCAACCGAACUCUUCUAGAAUCCAAUUAUUGUUAGUUGAAUAAUACGAGAACUUGUUUAACUUUAUAUAUUUUCAAAUCAUUAGUAAUUUUUAAAUUAAAAGAUUAAUGUUCUUAUUAUUUUUAUUUUUUAAAUUUGAAUAUAUGAAAAUUUAUAAAUAUCAUAAAAUAUAUUUUUACAUUUAAAUAAUGAAAAGUUGAUUUAUAAACUCAAAAUGAAAACUGUUAUAGCUUAUAAGUUAGGUUGACCAGUUUAUAAGCUUAGACAAACAUCCCCUUAAUAGGAUUAUGGCGAAUUGAGUACCUGAAAAAAUUACAAGCCAGUUGUCAUCCCUAAAUAGAAAUUUUUUUCUCUUAAGAAAUAAAUUGAUUCCUUGUGCUUCUUUAUGGCACUAGUGUCUGAAUUUCAUGUGAUGAUAAAUUCCCAUGAUGUUUAUAUAGCAAUUCCUUUAUUUCUUGGUACUUUUUUGUUUGGGUUGAUAAAGAUUCAUGCUAACUUCAACAUUCAACAAUCAAAUAAGUCUUUCCUUUAUUAUCUGGAAUGGUUGCGAAUGAGCCA
This 1866-nucleotide long non-coding RNA is filed under the name Manihot esculenta (cassava). RNAcentral describes it as "long non-coding RNA (MESC_LNC008580)". Lineage: Eukaryota; Viridiplantae; Streptophyta; Magnoliopsida; Malpighiales; Euphorbiaceae. The record is from RNAcentral.